This 22614-nucleotide long non-coding RNA is filed under the name Triticum aestivum (bread wheat). Its description in RNAcentral is "long non-coding RNA (TAES_LNC007825)". Lineage: Eukaryota; Viridiplantae; Streptophyta; Magnoliopsida; Poales; Poaceae. The record is from RNAcentral.
UUUUUUUGUUUUUUUUGUUGGUCGACUGGUCGACUCUAACUGAUGAAACUAGUGGGGGCACGCUGAGUGCACCCACUGGGUGUAGUCCCCGAGACUGUGGUCGAAUGUUUGUAUUCGGCCAUAGUCUUAGAAACGCUAUGAUUUUUCUUUAGUCACUCGGAAGUGAAUUGUCUUUGACAUCUGUCGAUUGGUUCUUCAUAGAAAUCCUGCGACCUUGCGGCUCGUUAUACUGAGUUGGAGAACAAACACAUCCAGCUCGAGCUUGAUCUGAAACUGACCCAAGAGAACCUAACGAAGGUGAAGGAGGAAGCUAAAGGUAUGUUUGGUGAGGCCUCCGACGACUGCCUUUGCCUCUCGUUUGUUUCAGAGUCUGAUCUCACUGUAACUUUGCAGAAAAAGUGAGGGAUGCCCUGAAGAAAAAAGACCUUGACUUGGCUGAGAUGCAGAAAGCGGCUUUAAAGAAGACCAAGCUCGCAGAUGAGAAGCUGGCUUCAGUCACCAAGCUUGAAGAAGAAAACACCAAUCUGAAAGCUGCUCUGGAUGCUUCCAACAAGGAGGUCAGUCGACUGAAAAGUGACAAGAUUGCCCUGAACGACAAGGCCAGUGAGUUGCUGGGAAAGAAGAACGAUCUGGAGGCUUAUCUGGGUGGACUCGCCAAGAAGCUAUUCCUCAUGCUUGAAGGUAAUCUUUUGUAUCAAACAGACAUUUUAACUGUGAUCUUCAACUGUUGUCUUGACUCGGUGGUUGUGCUUGCAGAAUUUUGCCAGAACUUUGAAGAGGAGACUGGUCGACUGGAAAUAAACCUGGAUCCCAUCAACUCUCCCGUGAAAGAUGAAGUCGCCAUGAAUGUGCUCCGGCUUGAAUCUCGCAUCGUUGCUGUCGUCGACUAUCUCGCAAGGCUGAAGGUCGCAACUUCUCGCAUCGAUGCAACACUCUGGCCAAGAGAGAUGCUCCAGAACGACCUCGAGUCUCUGGUGACUCGACUGAACGAGGUCCCAAGUCGAGUGCAGGAGUGGAAGAAGUCUUCUGCCAGGUGUGGCGCGGAUGUUGCUCUGUCUCUGGUUCGCGUUCACUGCAAGGAUGCACGAGAGGACAAGCUGGUGGCCCUUAGGGUGGCCAACACCAAGAAGCAUGAUUUCCGAUCUUUCAUGGAGACCUUCGUCGCCGCUGCCACUCGGAUUGCAGAUGGAAUCGACCUGGAUGAGUUUGUUGCACCUUCUAGCCCUCCACAGGAGGGGUAAAAAACUUCUGAGCUUGAUACUUUAAAUUUGCCUCGGUAUGUCGAGUGAGUUUUGUAACCGACAAACCUUAACAGGCUUAGCGCCUGAGCACUUUCUGUUCCGUUAGGUAUUAUCCGAACUUGGAUUCGACGUUGGAUAUGUUUGCAUUUGGUUUGAGGUGUCUUUUGCAGGCUAACGCGGAGUGCUCAUUGCAAUCGACUUGUUCCCCGAUAUACUUAGGCAAGCACUGGGCUGCAGCUAAGCCCCUGAGUGGGAGGUUUGCUCUCCACUCGGUGGGAUUUUCAAAAACUUAGGCGAGCACUGGGCUGCAGCUAAGCCCCCGAGUGGGAGGUUUGCUCUCCACUCGGUGGGAUUUUCAAAAACUUAGGCGAGCACUGGGCUGUAGCUAAGCCCCGAGUGGGAGGUUUGCUCUCCACUCGGUGGGAAUUUCAAAAACUUAGGCGAGCACUGGGCUGCAGCUAAGCCUCCGAGUGGGAGGUUUGCUCUCCACUCGGUAGGAUUUUCAAAAACUUAGGCGAGCACUGGGCUGCAGCUAAGCCUCCGAGUUGGAGGUUUGCUCUCCACUCGGUAGGAUUUUCAAAAACUUAGGCGAGCACUGGGCUGCAGCUAAGCCCCCGAGUGGGAGGUUUGCUCUUCACUCGGUAGGAUUUUCAAGGCGUACCUCUGGAGAAGGAAGUAGCAGUCGACCUGCACCUCGUCUUCCUUGCAGAGCGCACGUUGUAUUUGUGGCGUAGCUCGGAAGGAGAGAGUAGCAGUCGACCUGCACCUCGUCCUCCUUGCAAAGCGCAUGUUGUAUUUGUGGCAUAGCUCGGAAGGAGAGAGUAGCAGUCGACCUGCACCUCGUCCUCCUUGCAGAGUGCAUGUUGUAUUUGUGGCGUAGCUCGGAAGGAGAGGGUAGCAGUCGACAUGCACCUCGUCUCCCUUGCAGAGCUCACGUUGUAUUUGAACUUAGGCGAGCGUGAUGCUGCAGCUAAGCCUCCGAAUGGAAGGCUGGCUUACCACUCGGUAGGAUUUGGUUUAACUUAGGCGAGUACUUGGACUGCAGCUAAGCCUCCGAGUGGAAGGCUGGCUUACCACUCGGUAGGAUUUGGUUUAACUUAGGCGAGUACUUGGACUGCAGCUAAGCCUCCGAGUGGAAGGCUGGCUUACCACUCGGUAGGAUUUUGUUUAACUUAGGCGAGUGCUUGGACUGCAGCUAAGCCUCCGAGUGGAAGGCUGUCUUACCACUCGGUAGGAUUUUGUUUAACUUAGGCGAAAUGGAUUUCGUAGCUAAGCCUUCGAGUGGGAGGCUGGCUCAUCACUCGGUUAGGAUUUUUUUAUAGACUUAGGCGAAUCAGAUUCGCAGCCAAGCCACCCACUGGGGGAUUGCUUUAUGUGGACAAAAGUAAUAACAAUUACUGGGAAAAUUAUAAAGCUCUUGUCUUUGAUAAAUAAACUACAGAAGUACUUUUAUUACAACUCAUCCGAGUGAAUACUCAAGUGUAAAAGGGGCGGAGAAGCUCCGUGUUCCAAGCUCGGGGCUCGUCGAUCUGAUGCUUGACAUUGCAGAGACGGUAUGCUCCAUUGUGGAGAACCUUGGUGACGAUGAAGGGACCUUCCCAAGAAGGAGCAAGCUUGUGUGGUUUCUGCUGAUCCACUCGGAGAACCAAAUCUCCUUCCUGGAAGGCUCGACUCUUCACAUUUUUGGCGUGGAAGCGACGCAAGUCUUGUUGAUAAAUGGUCGAUCGGAUUAGGGACAUCUCCCUUUCUUCCUCUAAAAGUCGACUGCAUCCUGCCGUGCUUGUUCUGCUUCAGCCUCGGUGUAGAGCUCGACCCGAGGAGCAUUGUCGAGAAGGUCACUCGGCAAGACCGCUUCAGCUCCGUAGAACAAGAAGAACGGAGUUCUUCCAGUCGACCGGUUGGGCGUCGUCCUUAACCCCCAAAGUACCGAAGGAAGUUCGUCGACCCAUGCACUAGCCGCAUGCUUGAGGUCACGCAUCAAACGGGGUUUCAACACUUUGAGAAUCAGGCCGUUGGCUCGUUCUGCCUAUCCAUUCGACUGCGGAUGGGCGACUGAAGCAUAGUUGACUCGUGUGCCUUGAGACAUGCAGAAAGCUCUGAAUUCUUCGGAAUCGAAGUUUGACCCAUUGUCAGUGAUGAUGCUGUGCAGGACUCCAUAUCUGAAUAUUAAUUCUCUGAUAAAGCUGACAGCAGUACCGGCAUCGAGGUUCUCGAUGGGUUUGGCCUCGAUCCACUUGGUGAACUUGUCGACUGCUACCAGCACAUGGGUGAAACCGCUUCUGCCUGUUCUCAAAGGGCCGACCAUAUCCAACCCCCAUACUGCAAAGGGCCAAACGAGUGGUAUGGUUUUUAAAGCUGAGGCGGGCUUGUGUGACAUAUUGGAGUAAAAUUGACAUCCCUCGCACUUGUCGACUAUCUCCUUUGCCAUUUCAUUCGCUCUUGGCCAAUAAAAUCCGGCUCGGUAUGCUUUGGUCACAAUGGUCCGGGAAGACGCAUGAUGGCUACAGGUCCCCGAGUGGAUGUCAUCAAGGAUUAUUCGACCUUCGUCUGGCGUUAUGCAUUUCUGACCAACUCCAGUCGUGCUUUCUCUGUAUAGCUGCCCCCUUAUCACAGUAAAGGCUUUAGAUCGGCGGACGAUCUGUCGAGCCUCUUCUUCGUCCUCCGGGAGCUCUUUCCUCAAGAUAUACGCGAUAUACGGUACUGUCCAAUCGGGAGUGACCACCAAAGCUUCCAUGACCAGGUCGACCACCGCUGGAACUUCAACCUCAGUUGGAUCCGUAACACUCUUAGGUUGCGGGCUUCGUCGGUAAAAGGAUCUUCUAUGACUGAUGGAGUAUGGAUAUGCUCCAAGAACACAUCACUGGGGAUGGCUUCUCUCUUGGAUCCUAUCUUCGCCAAAUCAUCAGCCGCUUGAUUUUUCAGUCGGGGUAUAUGGUGGAGCUCUAACCCUUCGAAUUUCUUUUCGAGCUUCCUCACUGCAUUGUAGUAUCCAGUCAUGGCUGGGCUUCUAACGUCCCACUCCUUCAUCACCUGAUUGACCACCAAAUCUGAGUCGCCAUAAACCAUAAGGCGACGAACGCCGAGUGAAAUGGCCAUGCGCAACCCAUACAAAAGUGCUUCAUAUUCUGCUUCAUUGUUGGAGGAAUCAAAGUGGAUCUGGAGCACAUAUCUUAGCUUAUCUCCUCGGGGGGAAACCAAAACUACCCCAGCACCAGAACCAUUUAACAUCUUAGAGCCAUCAAAGAACAUGGUCCAAUGCUCCGAGUGAACUUGAGUCGGCUGCUGUUGUUUGAUCCACUCGGCAAGGAAAUCUGCUAUAGCCUGGGACUUAAUGGAUUUCUUUGCCUCAAAUUUGAUAUCAAGGGGAAGGAGUUCAAUUGCCCAUUUAGCCACUUGACCAGUUGCGUCUCUGUUGUGCAGAAUCUCUGACAAUGGUGCGUCGCUGACGACCGUAAUGUCAUGAUCAGAGAAAUAAUGAGCAACCUUCUUCAUGGUCAUGUAGAUCCCAUAUAUGAGCUUCUGAUAAUGAGGAUAUCUUUGCUUCGAUGGAGUCAAAACUUCAGAGAGAUAAUACACUGGGCGCUGAACUUUGAAGGUUUUACCUUCCUCUUCCCGCUCGACCGUAAGUACUGAACCGACGACCUGUCCUGUGGCUGCAAUGUAAAGCAACAGAGGCUCUUUGCUGAUUGGAGCAGCAAGCACUGGCUGGGUGGAGAGCAGAGCUUUUAGCUCGGCAAACGCUGCAUCAGCUUCUGGAGUCCACUCGAACUUGUCUGCCUUCUUCAUCAGUCAGUAAAGAGGCAACGCCUUUUCACCGAGGCGAGAGAUGAAUCGACAUAACGCGCCCAAGCAUCCAGUAAGCUUCUGGACAUCGUGCACACGCACAGGGCGUUUCAUUCGGAGUAUGGUGCCAACUUUUUCUGGGUUAGCAUCGAUUCCUCGUUCUGAAAAGAGAAAACCGAGUAACUUUUCGCCAGGUACUCCAAAUGUGCACUUUGAUGGAUUGAGCUUGAUAUCAUAUCUCCUGAGAUUGGCAAAUGUUUCGGCUAGGUCAGUCAACAGGUCGGAACCCUUUCGUGACUUAACCACGAUAUCAUCCAUGUACGCUUCCACAUUCCGACUGAUUUGAGUGAGUAAACACUUUUGAAUCCUUCUCAUGAACGUGGCUCCGGCAUUCUUGAGACCGAAUGGCAUGGUGAUAUAGCAGAAGCACGCGAAUGGAGUGAUGAAAGCUAUUUUGAUUUCGUCAGGUCCAUACAGACGGAUCUGAUGAUACCCGGAAUAGGCGUCUAAAAAAGACAAUCUCUCGCAUCCCGCAGUCGAGUCGACAAUUUGGUCGAUGCGAGGGAGAGGAAAAUGAUCUUUUGGGCAGGCCCGAUUGAUAUGUUUGAAAUCAAUGCACAUGCGGAGUGAGUUGUCCUUCUUGGGGACCAUGACGACAUUGGUGAGCCACUCGGAGUGGUAUAUCUCUCGGAUAAACUCUGCUGCAAGGAGUCGAGCCACCUCCUCGCCAAUGGCUUUUUUCUUCUGAACGGUGGACUGUCGAAGAUGUUCUUUAACAGGUUUUGCUUUUGAGUCGACUCUAAGGCCAUGCUCAGCCAGCCCCCUGGGAACACCCGGCAUGUCAGCAGGCUUCCAUGCAAAGAUGUCCCAGUUCUCACGGAGGAACUGAAUGAGCGCUUCUUCCUAUUUAGAGUCGAGUGUUGUGGAAAUAUGGGUCGGAGCUGCAUUGGGGUCAGUCGGGUGGAUAUGAACUGGCUUCGUCUCUCCUGAUGACUGGAACGCUGACUCUGUGGCGGGCUUCUUGGCCCGCAGCAAAUCACUCGGAUCUGCAUUUUUCUUGUAUUCUUCUAGCUCUACCACUGUUAUCUGGGCAUCCGCAAUCUUCGAGCCUUUCUGGAAACACUCUUAUGCUUUCUUCCGGCUGCCAGUGAUAGUGAUCACGCCUUUGGGGCCGGGCAUAUUUAAUUUGAGGUACACAUAACAUGGUCGAGCCAUGAAGCGGGCAUAGGCUGGUCUUGCCAAAAUAGUGUGGUAAGCGCUCUGGAAAUCCACGACUUCAAAUGUCAGCUUCUCUUUGCGGAAAUGCUUCGAGUCGCCGAACACUACCUCCAGAGCUAUUUGACUGAGUGCUCAGCCUUCUUUCCAGGAAUGACUCCGUGAAAACUCAUGUUGCUGGAGCUGAGCCUGGACAUCGGAAUGCCCAUUCCCUUGAGCGUCUCUGCAUACAGUAUAUUCAACCCACUGCCGCCAUCCAUCAAUACCUUCGUCAGUCGAGUGCCUUCGACGACUGGGUCGACCACCAGCGCUUGCCUCCCAGGGGUGGAAAUGUGAGUGGGGUGAUCGGAUUGGUCGAACGUAAUGGGAGUUUGCGACCAUUUCAGAUAGCUUGGUGUCGCCGGGGCGACCAUAUUUACCUCUCGGUUGAUCACUUUCAGUCGACUUUUGCUCUCUACAUCAGCAAAAAUCAUCAGGGUGGAAUUGACAUGAGGGUACCCUCCAUCACUGUCCUCCUUGUCCUCGGCCUUGUCCGACUCCUUCUCUUUGUCCUUGGGUUGUUUUCCUUGAAACUGCUGGAUUAAGAGUCGGCACUGGCGAGUGGUGUGUUUCGUGUAAAUGAAGUUACCCUCUUCGUCUUUCUUCGUGUGGAUGUGACAUGGUAGAUCCAUCACGUCAUUUCCUUCUUUAUCCUUUACCUUCUUGGGGUUCCAAGAUCCUUUGGGCUUCCCUUUGAAUUUGCCCUGAGUCACGGCCAGAGCCUCUCCAGGAGCAGCUGGCUCGGCCUUCCGCUUCUGCUUCCGAAUGGAGUUUCCUUUUUCCGAUUGACUCGGCUUAUAUUUGCCACUCCGGAGCCUGUCCUCUUCUUCACCGUUAGCGUAUUUGGUGGCAAUCUCCAUCAUUCGACUCAGGGUCAUAUCUCCGGUUCGACCAAACUUCAGGCUCAACUCUUUGUUCUUGACACCAUCCUUGAAGGCGCACACCGCUUGAUGGUCCGACACAUUCUCCACGGUAUGAUGCAAAGUGAUCCAUCUCUGGAUGUAAUCUCUCAAUGUUUCAAUCGACUUUUGUACGCGGACUUGCAGCUCCGUCAAUCCGGCCGGUCGCUUGCAAGUUCCCUCGAACGUCCUGACGAACACUCGGGAAAGAUCUUCCCAGGUGUAAAUGCUGCUAGGAGCUAACUGAUUCAACCACGCCCUGGCCGAACCCUCUAGCAUGAGUGCCAAAUGCUUCAUGGCCACCUCAUCAUUACCACCACCAAUAUGUACAGCCACUCGGUAGUAUUCAAGCCAAGUUUCAGGCUUGGACUCUCCGAUGAACUUACUUACCCCAGUCGCCAACCUGAAGUUGGGGGGUAUCACUGCGGCUCUGAUGGCUCUGCUAAGGCAUUCUGGACCUGAAACAUGGACUCGGCUGCUGGUGGGCACAUCUCUGUCAUGGCCACCUCUAUGAGCUCUGUUCCGAUCGACCAGAUCCUGCACGAUGAUGGAUGUCGCGUCAAAGCCUGGUUCUCUGGGGUUGACCAGAGCUCUCUGCCCAACACUAAGCUGGCGCCUGUCAUCUUGCUGCCAAUGGGCGUUAGACCCACUUCUCGGGGGAGGAGUGGGCACUCGACGUCUAUCAUCACGAUCAAAUCGGUCAUCAUAGUGGUCCCGCCGGCCUUCACGUCCCACGUGCCUCGGAGGUGACCUUGGGCUGUGAGCCGACUGAACAGUAUUCGCAGCGACGGAUCGAUUGUGAAUCAUGUUGCGCGACUGUGACACAACUGAAUUCUGAUCUCCUGCCGCCCGGAGCAAAUCCCUGAUCUGCAUCAAGCCUCUUCCAGCCUCCGACUGGGAGGGAUGAAUUGACUCCGCUAUACGGGCUACAGCUGCCAAAUUCUGAAUCGGGGUUCGAUAUACCUGAGUCGGUUGCGGAAAGAGCUGACGUCGGCUGGAGUCAGGUACUCGUUGACGCGCACGCUCGUCGAGUGCUCGCUGGAGGUUCUCCAGUUGAGUUCAUUCAGCCAAGUUGGCCAAACGCGCCUCUUCCAAAGCAUGAGCCUCAGGAGUUUCUCCUGCGAUGGGAGUAUGCAGGGUAUCCAUGUUCCGGCGGCGAAGAUCUUCUCUUUGCUGAGAAGUGAGUGGCUCGGGCUGAUAUUCUUCGUGGGCCCGAGCGGGAUCACCUCCAUCGUCCAUCCCGUCGGCGCGGGGGAAACCGGGAGGGCUACGAGGCCCGUUGACCAUCAGGACCUCCGCCGCUGGAUCACUGCUAUCGCACUCGGAUGCAGUCUCUACGGAGCCAGUCGACAGAUCAAACAGGCUAUAGAGAGAUUCGUCGGGCUCAAUUGUCGUGACUUGGGUGGUGGCCGAUUGGCGAGCCACUGCAUGUCUCACCCACCGCUGAAGCCUCGACCGACCAGAGCGCUUGCGCUGGCGGGAGACAGGGAGGGAGGAUGACACAGGACUCGACUGGUAUGGGGUCGACGGCUGCCGCAGCAGGACGCCGCGGACACACGCCCGAGAGUGUGUCGCCCCGCGGACGGGGAGCGCGUCGAUGUCGAGUGGUGCCUCCUGGAGCCAAGCGGAGUCGUCGGCGAUGAAAGCGAGCGCACCGAGACGGAUCUCGCGGCCCUCGACCAGAGCUCCGCCAGAAACCAUGAUGAAGGCAAUCAGACAAAUUGCAACUUCUCCAAAAAGUCGCUAAGACACCUGCCCCACGGUGGGCGCCAACUGUCGUGGUUCUAAGUCUGACAGUAGAAUGGGGGGUAGGAAUGGAGAGGCAAGAUCCUAGCUAUGGAGUAGUUGUACACACGAGUGUUUUACAAGUUCAGGCCCUUCUCAGAGGAAGUAAUAGCCCUACGUCUCAGAGCCCAGAGGCGGUCGACUAGUUUUUUGUGUAUAUGAGUUACAGGGGUGCGAACCCUUUACACUGAGGAGGGGGUUGGCUUAUAUAGAGUUCGCCAGACCCCUCCGGCCCUCAGUUAUGUAGGGUUUAAAGUACAUUAAGACAGGGGGUUAUUGGUAAUGCCCUCAUAAAGUGCCAUGAAGAUUAUUAAAGCUACUUAAUGACAGACCGUUGCAUGCUGAGUGACUUUAGGUCUCCUGGUCGUCGAGUGGUUAGCUUCAUGGUCGAGUGGCUAUCUUCAUCAUCGAGUGUCCUUGAGUUUGUCGAGUGAAGUCCCUCUUGGUCGACUGGAAGGUAGCUUCUUCUAAGGAUGUCCUUGGGUAGGGUAUCCUAGAUAGGUCCAUGACCCUACCCUAGGUACAUGUCUUCAUCAAUAAGUAUAUGAGUUCUUUUGACUAAUGUUGAGUCCAUGGAUUACACGCACUCUCACCCUUCCAUCAUUACUAGCCUCUUCGGUACCGUGCAUUGCCCUUUCUCACCUUGAGAGUUGGUGCAAACUUCGUCGGUGCAUCCAAACCCCGUGAUACGAUAUGCUCUAUCACACAUAAACCUCCUUAUAUCUUCCUCAAAACAGCCACCAUACCUACCUAUUAUGGCAUUUCCGUAGCCAUUCCGAGAUAUACUUCCAUGCAACUUUCCACCAUUCCGUUCAUCAUGACACGCAUCAUCAUUGUCAUAUUGCCUUGCAUGAUCAUGUAGUUGACAUCAUAUUUGUGGCAAAGCCACCAUGCAUAAUUUUUCAUACAUGUCACUCUUGAUUCAUUGCCCAUCCCGGUACACCGCCGGAGGCAUUCAUAUAGAGUCAUAUCUUGUUCUAGUAUUGAGUUGUAAAUAAAUAGAAGUGUGAUGAUCAUCAUUAUUAGAGCACUGUCCCCAAAAAAAGAAAGGCAAAAAAAAGAAAGGACAAAUUAAAAAAAAGCCCCCCCCAAAAAGGGGGCAAUGUUACUAUCCUUUUCCACACUUGUGCUUCAAACUAGCACCAUGUUCUUCAUAUAGAAGGUCUUUCAUGUUGUCACUUUCAUAUACUAGUGGGAAUUUUUCAUUAUAGAACUUGGCUUGUAUAUUCCUACGAUGGGCUUCCUCAAAAUGCACUAGGUCUUCGUGAGCAAGCAAGUUGGAUGCACACCCACUAGUUUCUUUUGUUGAGCUUUCAUAUAUUUAUAGCUCUAAUGCAUCCGUUGCAUGGCAAUCCCUACUCGUCAUGUUGACAUCAAUUGAUGGGCAUCUCCAUAGCCCGUUGAUUAUCCUCGUCAGUGUGAGACUUUCUUUUUUUUUGUCUUCUCCACACAACCUCCAUCAUCAUAUUCUAUUCCACCCAUAGUGUUAUAUCCAUGGCUCACGCUCAUGUAUUGCGUGAAAGUUGAAAUUUUUUUGAGAUUAUUUAAGUACGAAACAAUUGCUUGGCUUGUCAUCGGGGGUGUGCAAGAUGGGAGCAUUUUUGUGUGAUGAAAAUGAAGCAUGACCAAACUAUAUGAUUUUGUAGGGAUGAACUUUCUUUAGCCAUGUUAUUUUGAGAAGACAUGAUUGCUUUGAUUAGUAUGCUUGAAGUAUUACUAUUUCUUAUGUCAAUAUGAACUUUUAUUUUGAAUCAUUUGGAUCUGAACAUUCAUGCCACAAUAAAGAAAAUUACAUUGAGAAUUAUGCUAGGUAGCAUUCCACAUCAAAAAAUCUGUUUUUGUCAUUUACCUACUCGAGGACGAGCAAGAAUUAAGCUUGGGGAUGUUUGAUACAUCUCCAACGUAUCUAUAAUUUUUGAUUGUUCCAUGCUAUUAUAUUACCCAUAUUGGAUGUUUAUGGGCUUUACUUUACACUUCUAUAUCAUUUUUGGGACGACCCUACUAACCGGAGGCCCAGCCCGAAUUGCUGUUUUUUUGCCUAUUUCAGUGUUUCGAAGAAAAGGAAUAUCAAACGGAGUCCAAACGGAAUGAAACCUUCAGGAGCGAUCUUUUUGGAACAAACGUGAUCCAGAGGACUUAUAGUGGAAGUCAAGAAACAAAGGAGGAGGCCACGAGGGUGCCCGGCAUGCCCCCUACAGGUGGGUGCGCCCCCCACCCUCGUGGGCCCCUCGAGCGUCCACCGACCUACUUCUUCCUCCUAUAUAUACCCAUGUACCCCGAAAACAUCAGAAGCGACCACGAAAAACUAUUUCCACCACCGUAACCUUCUGUAUCCGCGAGAUCCCAUCUUGGAGCCGUCGGCGGCGCUCCGCCGGAGGGGGAAUCCACCAUGGAGGGCCUCUACAUCAUCUCCGAGGCAUGUCCUAUGAGUUGUGAGUAGUUUACCAUAGACCUUCGGGUCCAUAGUUAUUAGCUAGAUGGCUUCUUCUCUCUCUUUGAAUCUCAAUACAAAGUUCUCAUUGAUCUUCUUGGAGAUCUAUUCGAUGUAACUCUUUUUGUGGUGUGUUUGUUGAGAUCCGAUGAAUUGUGGGUUUAUGAUCAAGUUUAUCUAUGAGAAAUAUUUGAAAAUCUCCUCUGAAUUCUUUUAUGUGUGAUUAAGUUAUCUUUGCAAGUCUCUUCGAAUUAUCAGUUUGGUUUGGCCUACUAGAUUGAUCUUUCUUGCAAUGGGAGAAGUGCUUAGCUUUGGGUUCAAUCUUGCGGUGUCCUUUCCCAGUGACAGAAGGGGCAGCAAGGCACGUAUUGUAUUGUUGCCAUCGAGGAUAAAAAGAUUGGGUUUAUAUCAUAUUACAUGAGUUUAUCCCUCUACAUCAUGUCAUCUUUCUUAAUGCAUUACUCUAUUCUUUAUGAACUUACUCCAGAUGCAUGCUGGAUAGCGGUCGAUGUGUGGAGUAAUAGUAGUAGAUGCAGGCAGGAGUCGGUCUACUUGUCAUGGACGUGAUGCCUAUAUACAUGAUCAUGCCUAGAUAAUCUCAUAAUUAUUCGCUUUUCUAUCAAUUGCUCGACAGUAAUUUGUUCACCCACCAUAAUAAUUAUGCUAUCUUGAGAGAAGCCACUAUUGAAACCUAUGGCCCCCAGGUCUAUCUCUUAUCAUAUAAGCUUUCAAUCUACUUUUAUUUGCAUCUUUACUUUUCCAAUCUAUAUUAUAAAAUACCAAAAAUAUAUUUAUCUUAUCAUAUUAUCUCUAUCAGAUCUCACUUUCGCAAGUGGUUGUGAAGGGAUUGACAACCCCUUUAUUGCGUUGGUUGCGAGUUCUUGUUUGUUUGUGUAGGUGCGUGGGACUUUUGAGAAGCCUCCUACUGGAUUGAUACCUUGGUUCUCAAAAACUGAGGGAAAUACUUACGUUACUAUUGCUGCAUCACCCUUUCCUCUUCAAGGAAAACCAACGCAAGCUAAAGACGUAGCAGUGUGUUGAGGAACUCAGCGUCCCUUGGGUGGUCCUAAGAAUGAAAUACAAGUGUCGUUAGUUGCGAUUAGGAGUAGGCAAUGGUGGACAGUAUGAAAAGGAAGAGGGUUGUGAGCUAACCGCAACAUGGCCGGCAUAGUGCUCUACCUCCAGAACUAUGGAGCAAGUGUUCUCAUCACAUGAGGCGCCGCUAAGGUCUCUUAGCUUGGACACUUGGAUCCAUCAACCUCUCCAUUUCCUCAGGUGGUUGUACACCUGGGUGGCAGACACCUUUUGCCCACAGAACUCGAACACCUGCGUCGCAACGUUGUUCAAGUGCACCUUCUUGAAGCCCUUGUCAGUCCUAACUCCACUAGAGAUGAGCUCACACAUCUUAUUCAGCACAAAUGUGGACAUGAACGGCUGCCACUUCAUGUUGUUCGACCUACCAUCCUUCUUUGCCUUUGCUGCUGCUACCUUGAGUGCAACGGCAGCAACAGCAGUAGCAGGAGUUAGCUCAACGAGCACUACUGGCACAUAGAGGGAAUCAGACGCGAACACCUCUGAAUCAUGUGCCAUCUCGGACAUAGUCUACGAGUCCUCGACAAACGAUGGAGCAAACUGGCUGUCAGACAGGACAAGGGCCUGACUAAGAUCUUGCGUCUACGUGGUCAUGUCCUACAAUCGUAGCAUGCAUUGACAGUAAGCAUAGCACACAACAUACCGGAGAAUCCAUGAAAGCAGCAGCAUACAUGUACAUGGUUCAUGGCUAUCAUACUAAGCAUACCCGACAACCUAUGAGCACGAACAUACAUCUACAACAAACAGCAUGCUACAAAUGGACCACCAAUAGGUACAAAUCAUAGAUCUAAGCACGAAUCAACACAAGCACAAGGUUCAACUUCGAACUCUACUACUAAUCUAGCCUACCACAUGCUUGAACAUCUAGCCCUACCAUAAAUUGCAACCGCAGCAUAGCAAUCAACCAUAUCAGCUCACAGAUUAUACCACUAAUCAACCAUGCAUCUAGAUCAAAUCCUAGCUGCAGUUCAGAUCUAGCUAGAAGGAACAAAGAGAAAGGGGGAUUGAACUCACAGAGGCCAUGGCUGCAGCUCGAGGACGAGGGGGGACGGUCGUGGAAGAUCAACGCCGGUCGGUGAAGGAGUGCCGACGCCGUGGACCGUCGGCCGAUGAAGAUCCGCCGCUUACCUGCUCGUCGGUGCCGAUGCAUGUCGGAGGGAAAGCUCGAACGAAGGGAGAAUGGUGGCGGGAGUUGGGGUGGUGAGGAAGGGGGCUAAAUAGGGGUGGACUCGGCGGGAGGUGAGCCGAAAUCCUCCCGCCGAUUUUUCGGUGACGCGGGUGAGCUCACGCCAUCUCCCUGCUUGCACGAGGGAAAAAGCGCGUCGCCCUCCCCUGCCUCGCCCGAGCCAGGCUCGCGAGCUACUGUCGAUUCGGGCGUUUCCCCUAGGCCUGGCCUGGACGUGCUUUAAGUUCCGUGCGAUGUGGGCCGCACAGUGAAUGCAGGUUACCAAACGGACUCAAUCUUUCCUGCACGGGCCAGGCUGGGCCAUAUGCAGGCAACCAAACACGCCCAAUGUGGUCUCGCCAGCCCAUCCGUGGUAUACCAUCUCCAACGUCAUCAUGUAGUUUUGUGGUGCCGUUGCACGAGUGGAGACAAUGUGGCCAUCCAGCUCGUCAACCAUGAUGAUGGUAAGUUUUGCUUCUUGUUGCUCUAUAUGUUUGUAAAUUCAUUCAUUCACUCAAUGUUUUAACUUGAUAAUAAUCAUGUUGUGUAGCUCGGACGUGUUGCCGUAUUGUACUAUAGGACAGAGAGCAAACCAUUUACAUUCAUACAUGUUGGAUGAAGCUCAAGGACAAGGGUGCGUGAAAUGAAGUGUGCCGAUUCUGGCUCAAGUAUCAUUGAAUUUGGAAUCGAUGAAGGGUGGGCUCGAUUGAAACCAUACGAGAUGGCUCAUGAUUUCAUAUUUAACAUUUUUUAUGAUAAAAAGGGCGUCGGUCUGAUUUUCAAUAGCAAUAACCAUAAAGUUCUUAUAAAACUACUGAAAAUGAAAAUCAAAACUUAUGACAAGGCACCUACAAUAUCAGACUAUAAAAGACCUCACCAGAUCUAAGGAGCUCUAGACCAUCGACAAGAGGUAGUCCAGGAAGAUAACAACAAACGUUGGAGACGUUGUUGUCUAAUACUCCCUUCGUCACAUUUAAAUGUUGCUCAAACAGAUGUAUAGCAUCUACCCUCUCAACAGCAGCAGAAAACAAAAGGGUAUGAAUAUAGUUUUUCCAAAUCAACAUACACACAAAAGUGAUAACAUUAUCAGCAAGCUUCUCUCCACCGGUCUCCCACCUAGAAUGUUCCUUGAUCUCCCAUCAAUCUUCAAUCGAUCCAGAGAAUGCCAAAACGCAAACCUUGUACCGCUCUAAACUCAUUGUUUGUUGUUUGUUGGUGCACUUUACCACCCACCUAAUCUUUCUGAUCUUUCUGUUUUUUCUGCAAAAUGUUCCAAUCACUCAGCCAUCUAUCUAUUAUAUUAAGGGCAUGUACAAUAGGGGCAGUUGGUAGGUGCUUCCCGGCGCAUUCACAUAGACAAAAAAGUAUGAGGCAUUCAGUUGAAUAAUUUCUUUCGCAAUGCAGUGCGUUGAGACCAUCAACUUUGGGACCCACGUAGUGAGCUGAAGCUUGGCAAGAGGUAACAUGCAUAGGAAUGCGCGCUCACCGUCGCCAGCAUGCCCCUCUUUCUCUCAUCACUUUUGGUCGUUGGACCACAACCUCUCUCCCCAAAUACCCACCUCUUGCAGAAGAAUCAUCUGUCUUUGUGAGGCAACCACUUUUGUUUCACGCUUGGCAUCCGAGCCUAGCUGACAUGCGGGGUAGCACCCUUGGGGCAUACUGUUGACCAUGCCCUAAUAGAGACACAAAGGUUAGUAACUUUAACAUUGUCAAAAAUGAUGCCCUCCUAUUCAAAUUAAUUGACGCGGUUUCAGUACGACUUUACUAGUAUAAAAUACUAAAGCUACAUCAAUUAAUUCAGAUCAAAGGGAGUACUCUACUGUUUCUUAAUUUCCAGAUGGUCUAGAAGACCACGGCAACAGGUGUGAAUACCGGAUGUUUCUCACCAGAUUUGAAUUUGGAGGAAGGACUAGGUGCAGAUUUUUUUCGAGUUUCAAGCUAGGAACACUGUGGCAGGAACGUGUCAAAGUCAACGCAAAGACUCUGCCCACACUGCUCAGCUUAGAUGCUGAUUGAUAACGUGUUCAAAAAAAAAAUGAUGCUGAUUGAUGAUAGCUGUGUUUUCUACCAGUUAUUAGUGAUGGCAGUCGACGUGCUGGUCUUUGCUUACCCAAGAAAAACUCAAUGUCGCCUCGCUCUUGCUAUCAACUUUUUUUUCUUUCUUUCUAUAUCAACUAAAAUUGCUUGUGAUUUACUCCGUAUAUUGUAAUGGCAUCCGUCUGAUCGCCUGUGUGUGAGAUGGUAUUCUGGUCUCUUGUCCGGCGCCCAUUUUCAUCACGCAUUGCGACAGAAUUUUCUUGGUAACUGGCGUGACAAUACAAUAUUUCCUUUGGAAGCAACGGAAAGUAAAUAAUUUGCAUUCACCAUUUCCAACUGCAAGCGCCCAAUGCUGCAGCAUCCUCUGCACUCCGCAAGAGCACGAAUCCUAACAAGCAGCCGUCGAAAAAGGAGACACGCUAAGCUAAAGACGUCAUCCGCGGCGGCAUCGGCGGGCACUCCGACCGCGGCAGCCCCGGCAGCGGCGGCGGCCCGAGCCCUCCGCGGCAGAGCGGGCACGUCCGGCGCUUCCGGAGCCAGCGGUCGACGUCGCAGCUCGCGUGGUAGAAGUGCCCGCAGGCCGGCACCACCCGCACCAGCUCGCCGGCCUCGCCCUCGCCGUACUCCGACAGGCAAAUGGCGCACCGCUCCUCCUCUCCCUCCCCCUUCUCCUUCUCCUUCUUCCUGGCGGCCGCCUGCUCGUACGUCAUGAGCGUGUCGUCGCCGAGGGCGGCCUCGACGUCGGCGUCGUGCACCGCGGCGCUCCCGGUGGCGCCGGCCGCGUCGUCGCAGGCUCCACCGGUGGCCAUGACGGCCACGGCGACGAUGAUGACCGCCAUCACGACCACCGCGGCGAUCUGGAGGUGGAGCACGAGUUCCGGGUCCAUGCUCAGUGCUCCUUGGCCAAUGCCAAUGCCAAUGCCAGCGAACUACCGCUCCAGUCCAGCCUCCAGCCUUUGUAUAGGAGCUCUCCGGUCCAGAGCCUUCUCGGCCAAGUCAGGACGUAGUGUGAAAGAAAGGCGGAGGUUGAGCUUUCCCAGAAUGUUUCAGCUGAUUUCCGCCUUUCUUCUUCCACUGGACAAUUCCCUUGUGGCUGUCUUGUUUCACUUCACUACUCCGGUUUUGGACUUAAUUCAAUUGUCUUCUUCUCUUCUCUCUCUUUUUAUCCCUUUUGAAAAUGAAUCAAUAUGUGAUUACGCGUAACUUGUAUCCCUUUGCCACCCUUAAUAUAAAAUGAAAACGACGUCGCUUUCUUCCAUUUACAACAGCCUCACUGGUUAUGAAAACUAAAGCUGUUUGCUCACCAAUUGACUUCUGUAUUUUCUUAAAAUCCAAUCCUGUUUUUUAUUCCUUUUUUUUUUUGCGGGAGAUCAUGUUUCUAAUUCUUCUUUCAACUAAAAGAAGUUAUCCACAUCAUGUUUUUUCUUCUGCGGUGCGCAUUAGGUUACCUACAAAGAAUUUGUCAAAAAAAAAGGUUACAAACAAAGAAUUGCUCUAAAAUUAAUCAGAUAGAUCAUACUAGAAAUUUAUCCAAUUGAUUAAUCCUAAUGGAGUAUCGAAAAGACAGGAAGGGCUAUAGUAAGAUUAUUAUCCCUGGUAUUCGUCAUAAUUUUUACCAUAUGAUUAGUUGAUGCGCUCGCUCGCGUGCCGACCACAUAGAAAAACAGAAGCACUAAGAUUGCAGUAACGCGCUUUGUUUAAAUAUAUAAAUCGUAUGUAUUUAUACUGCACUUGCUCGGACAGUAACGUUUUAGAUUCUACACCGCUGUGAAAAUUCGCGGCAGCUGACACUGGCAAAAUCGUGGAACCAUCCAAUUGUGUCGUAGGCCGGCCCCGCUCCAGGAAAACCUUCACGCUCGCUUCUAGAACAUCUAGUUCUUGUGUUGCUUUCCUUGUGAGCUCUUUGACUCGGGUGACAUCUCUCGGUGUCCUCAGUCGUUCCUUCCUCUUCCGACUGGAAAGAACCCAUGCGACCUGCGUCCGCCCGCGUCUUGGACGGCUCUCAGGCUCUCGGAUAGCUAGAACACGUCAAAGUCAACUGAUGAACCCACUGGUCUGGUACGGUGGUACCCUCCCCUGUAAGCGUUGGUAGACUGAUGGCGAUGUUAUGAACAUUUUGAUAAUCAACUUGACGGUUUUGCUGACUGUUUACAAAACGCGUAGAGAGACGAGUGGGAGGAGCAGCCAAGCCCCGAGGCCGAAGACGGCGGGGACGCCGGCGACGGUGAGGCCUCGGACAGGAGUGACCCGGAACUUACAAUGACACGGCGGCGGGCGACACAGGUGGAGGCCUGGAGGGAAGUCGAGGUUGGCGGGUUCGGGUGGAGGGUGCGGACUCGCCGGAGAAGAAGAUGAGCAUGUCAGACGUGAGCAGGAGGAAGGGAUGGCGGCCGUUAGAUUUCAGUAAUUCAACCGACCGAUGUAAAUAGCUUUUCCAGGCAAGUGUGGCAUGGGUGCUUCUCACCCAAUUCGCCAUCGGCUGUUGUUUCUCAUUUGCCUACCUGUGUUAAACGUAUCAGAAAUAUGAAAGGCCAUCACUUGGACACGUCAUCACCUAAUCCCUAUUAGUUAAGCCGUUGGCGUGAUGCACCGUAACGAAUGAAAUUCGCACCGGAACCAGUAAAAUUCUUGGAGCAAAGAGAGAACGUCCCAUUUCACCAGUAGCAAGCUGACGUAAAUGAAGGUGGAGUACAAUGCAUCUGUCUCUACUAAGACUACUACGAAGCUCGAAGCAGCUGGAGCUGAUCGGCGAAAAAAAUGAUCGACUAUGCUACUACUACGACGACGGCGGCGGCGGCGGCGCGGGUCGGCGGGCGCGGCCAGAGCGCGCCCCGGCAGAGCGGGCAGGUCCGGCGCGCCCGGAUCCACCGGUCGGCGUCGCACGCGGCGUGGAAGAAGUGCCCGCACGCCGGCACCACGCGCACCACCUCCUCGGGCGCCUUGGCGUACUCCGACUGGCAGAACGCGCAGCAGCGCUGCCGCGCCCUCGCCGCCUCGCCCACCUGCGCGUACGCCACCAGCGUCGCGUCGCCCAGCGCGCGCUCCACGUCCUCGGCCGCCGCCGCGGCGCCGGCGUCGUCCCUGCAGGCGCCCGAGGCGGCGGCGGCGAGGGCGACGAUGAGCACCGCCAGGGCGACCACCGCCGCCACCUCGAGAUCGAACGCCAUGGCGGGGCUCAUCUCUUCCGUCUUCCUUCCUUCCUGGCCUGAUCGAUGGAACGAACGGCAGUGCGCGACACCAACCUUGUAUGCGCAGUGCGUGUGCUCUUCCGAGCUUCCCUUCUUCCUUGGCCUGACCUCUUUUUGUAGUAUCUUCCGUGUUUCAGCUAACCAGAUUAACGAACGGGCCUUCUUUUCUCGGUGGCCUUCUUUUCCGUGUCUCCCCUCCCCUCUCACUCGGCUCGCGGUCUGCUUUCUGUACGAGCUGGCGGUUACCACGAAUAAAAGUUUUUUUUUCACGGAAAAUUACCAAUCUAUUCAUUUUUAAUCAUGACAGUACAACGAACACCAGUAAUAAUAAAAGCUACAUCCAGACCCGUAGACCGCCUAAUGACAAACUUGGUUAUGUUAGAAUCUUCAGAUUUGUGCGAGUGUUGUUUUCCUUUUUCUUUUUCACGUAUGGUUGGUAUCGAGACACUAUUUUAAAGGAAAUAAAGAUUAAAAGUUCAUGCCUACAAACGUUGGCAUCAAAAUCUAAUGUCCCACUCCAAUCAAAAGAGAAAGAUCUAAUGUACUACUUUAGAGUUUGAAUCAUUAGAUUUUUUCUGUCUAGUGAUUUGAUCGAGACACAGUAAAAUCGCAGCCACUGCGAUUUAAGGUCUAAGCCAUGACCUAAGGCCAACCAGCAUGACACAACUGCAAAAAACAACACAAUAAAAGGGGGUUUAAGAUCAACAUGCAAAUGCCAGCACGGGCACAUAAUCCUGAUAACUUUUGUCAAUGUUUGUCACUGAAAAUUUCUAGAAUUUUCUUAAUUUGUUUUCAAUAUUUUUUUCGAUUUUAUGGCUCACCCGAGAUCAUUUGAGCUCGAGACUAGAAGAGUACUUCGUCGAUUUCCUUUCUUCUUCCGGUGGACAAUUCCCUUGCGGUUGUCUUGUUGCUACUCCGGUUUUGCACUUAAUUGUCUUCAUCUUUUUCUUCUCUCUUUGCUUUGCUCUACGGUAGAGUUGGACUUAAUCAGGAUGUGAUUACCAUGUAACUUGUAUCCCUUUGCCUCUCUAAAUAAAAUAAAAUGGAAAAUGUCUUCCAUUUACAACAGCCUCACUGGCUAUGACAACUACACUGUUUGUUCAUCGGUCGAUUUUUUGUAAAAAACGAUAUUUUCUUAUUCUCUCGAUAGAAAAAUGGCUAUCCACAUUAUUUUCGGGGAAAACCUUCUCGCUUCUAAAACAUUAGUUCGGAGUCGUUCCUCUUCCCACUGGAAGGAGAGCGUAGCCUAAGUUAAGUUAGAACACGUCAAAGUCCACGCGAGGACUACUAUGGUACUCCUGUGCACGUGUUGGUCGAUUGAUGUUAUUAUUUGAACAUUAACUUACGGUUUCGCUAAUACAAUACUCAGCCAACCCAAACUAAUCUUUGCGUCAACCGAUCUCCAGAACGCGUAGAGAGACGAGGGGAAGGAGCAUCGAAGCCCCGAGACCAAAAACGGCCAUGUACGAGGAAGACGGCGAGGCCUCGGACGGAAGCGAGCCCGUAACCGGCGACGACGCGGCAACGGACGACGACGCAGAUGUUAAACGCAUCAGAUGUAUGAUGAAAUGUUAUCAACUGGACACGCUAUCACCACCUAACGCCGAUUACUUAAUUAGUAUUACGCCGUUGGCGUGAUGCGCCGGACGCCAGCCCACCAAAGUUAGUUCUUGGACAAAGAAAUGGUGUGCCGUUUCACCAGUAGCAAGCUGACGUACGUGCCCAAGUAAGUGACGGCGUACAAUGCGAGAAUAGAAUUUUGGAAUUCGGGUGUAUUUGAGGACCUUAUUUUAAAUACUUUGAAAAUCACAUUUAAGGUUUCAAAAAAUUCUGAAAACAAUUCUACUUGAUCAUAUGGAUUUAUAGUACACAUGUGUAAAGUUUGGUGAUGAAAUAAGUAAAUAUGCGACCUAUACAAAAAUGACAAAAAUGGUUAUUUCCAAAUAGUGAAUAAUGCAUGCACUGUUCACCUUUCCAAAAUCAUGAUUUUGUCAUUUUUGUGUAACUCACAUGGUUACUUAUUUCAGCAUCAAAAUUUACACAUGUGUAAUAUACAUUCAUAUAAACAUAUUGAUUUGUUUUUAGAAUUUUUUGAAACUUUAAAAUAGCAUUUUGGCACAGUUCCAAAAAUAGGGCUCCAAUGCAUCGGGGUUCCAAUGUGACUUUUUGCGUACAAUGCAUCUUUCUCUACUACUACGAUGCAGCUGAAGCUGAUAGGGGGAAAUAAUGAUCGACUAUGGUGGUACUACUACGGCGGCGGCGGCCAGAGGGCGCCCCGGCAGAGCGGGCACAUCCGGCGCGUCCGGAUCCACCGGUCGGCGUCGCACGCGGCGUGGGAGAAGUGCCCGCAAGCCGGCACGCGCACCAGCUCUUCCGGCGCCUUGGCGUACUCCGGCAGGCAGAACGCGCCCUCGCCCGCCUCCGCGUACGCGUACGCCACCAGCGUCGCGUCGCCGAGCGCGCGCUCCGCGUCGUCAACCGCCGCUCCAGCGUCGUCGUCGGAGGCGAGGGCGAUGAUGAGCACCGCCACGGCGAUCACCACGGCCACCUCGAGAUCGAGGGCCUGAUCGAUCGGACUGCAGGGCGCGACAGUAACCUUCUAUGCGCAGUGCACGUCCUCUUCCCUUUGAUUGGUGUGGCCUCCUUUUGUAGUAUCUUCAUUGCUCCAGGUUAACCAAAUUAACAGGGCAUCUGCCUUCUUUCCCGUGUCUCACAUCACUCGGCUCGCGCUCUGGUCGGCAAAUUUCCUUCUUGCAGUGGCCAAGUCGGUUACAGCAUCUCCAAUAGAUGGUUCAAAUUUUAACGGUCCAAAACCGAAGAUUUAAAAUAUGGUCCGUCAAAUAUGUGCUUUAGAGCUUCCGAAAUGCUCAACUCCAACAGAUGGUUUAAAUCAGAGAUGUAAAAGAGCAACUCCAACAAAUGGUCCAAAACGAAGAUGUAAAAUUGCCUUGAUCGUCUUCUUCAAUCUCGGGAUGUAGGCCACCUUCAUCAAAUCCGUCGCCAUCAAGCUCUCCCCGAGCGCGCCAUCCUUCCCGUGAUGAGCUCCUCUCCCAAUUCCUCUAUUUUUUUUUCCUUCGAUCGGUGUCGUUUGUCACCGCUCCUGAGCACGUAGGCGGCGACGGCAGCGAUAAUUUGGGGAAUGGCAGCGGCGGAUUGCAGCUGACUGGUGCAGUUGGGCGCUUGCGGGCGGUCACCGAAUUUGGACCAGUUCUCAGUAAUGCAAAUUUGCACCACGAUGACCGGAUGGUCCAAAAUUUAGGUAUUUUUACAUUUGAACCGUCUAUUGAAGAUGCUCUUAUACUUGUGCGUCCCCUUCUGCUUUUCCCUUUGGAGCCAUUAUACUGGCACUUUUGCGACCUUAUUUUUUGUGAAGGAUAAAGUUUGUGCCUGCCUUUUGCGACAAUCAAAAACUGUCUUGUGCGAAACAAGAAACGACUUAAGAUCGCAGCCACAGUAAAACCAUAUACGGAGUACUCAUGUCAACCUACGACCAACCAGCAUGAAACAGCCGCAAAAACAACAUUAGAAAAGGGUGCAAGACGAACGGAUUAAGAUUAAGAUCCAAAUGCCAGCACGGCACAUAAUCCAGAUAACACAAUCUAUAACUCCAGCAGGACAAACAGAACUCAAUGGAACAGGUCAUUGUGCAGAGUGCCGGACUUCAACAAAAACGCACGUUGCAAGACUACACUGGGGUGGACAAAGAGCUCUUCACUCGUCGUCAUCCUCAUCGUCAUCG